This 492-nucleotide ribosomal RNA is filed under the name uncultured bacterium. Its description in RNAcentral is "partial 16S ribosomal RNA". It matches the Rfam family "Bacterial small subunit ribosomal RNA", at positions 29 to 507 of the family's 1533-position model. The record is from RNAcentral.
AGUGAACGCUGGCGGUAGGCCUAACACAUGCAAGUCGAACGGCAGCACAGUAAGAGCUUGCUCUUACGGGUGGCGAGUGGCGGACGGGUGAGGAAUACAUCGGAAUCUACUUUUUCGUGGGGGAUAACGUAGGGAAACUUACGCUAAUACCGCAUACGACCUACGGGUGAAAGCAGGGGAUCUUCGGACCUUGCGCGAUUGAAUGAGCCGAUGUCGGGUUAGCUAGUUGGCGGGGUAAAGGCCCACCAAGGCGACGAUCCGUAGCUGGGCUGAGAGGAUGAUCAGCCACACUGGAACUGAGACACGGUCCAGACUCCUACGGGAGGCAGCAGUGGGGAAUAUUGGACAAUGGGCGCAAGCCUGAUCCAGCUAUACCGCGUGGGUGAAGAAGGCCUUCGGGUUGUAAAGCCCUUUUGUUGGGAAAGAAAAGCAGCAGGUUAAUACCCCGCUGUUCUGACGGUACCCAAAGAAUAAGCACCGGCUAACUUCGUG